Non-coding RNA from Oncorhynchus nerka (sockeye salmon), 616 nucleotides. Lineage: Eukaryota; Metazoa; Chordata; Actinopteri; Salmoniformes; Salmonidae. The record is from the annotation of a RefSeq genome assembly.
GCAGCAUCGUAAAUAAUGAGUUUAGGAGCUCCUCCAGGUUUCUGUAACAGUGCACCCACCCUCACUGUCCUGUCCCCCGCUAGAGAGGAACUGUCCAGUACAACAACAGCCACACUGACGUGUCUGGCCAACAAGGGCUUCCCCUCAGACUGGACCUUGAGCUGGAAAGUGGACGGGACCAGCCAGAAGCAGGAGGCCAGUCCUACGGUCCUGGAGAAUGAUGGCCUGUACAGCUGGAGCAGCACCCUGACUCUCACUGCCCAGGAGUGGACCAAGGCAGGAGAGGUGACCUGUGAAGCCCAGCAGAAAUCCCAGACUCCAGUCACCAAGACCUUGAGGAGAGCUGACUGUUCUGGGUAGAACCCCUCAGUGACACAACCCUGUGGAGGGAGGCUGCGGGUUCCUCUGCUUUGACUCUGUUCUGAGAUCAGAUAUUCUAUGUCUUGUUGAUCACUAACAUGUAGACUAACAGAGGGCUUUGCUUGAUUUCAUGUGUCAAUCCUCUCUGUAGACUGAGGUUGUAUCAGUGUUAAAUGUGAUGUGUUCUGUUUUAUUACUAUUAGAUACUGUAGGAAUGUUUGCUUUGAUGAAAAUAAAGAUUUCCCUUUGGAACAAA